GUGAGGAAUAUUGCGCAAUGGAGGCAACUCUGACGCAGCCAUGCCGCGUGCAGGAAGAAGGCGCUACGCGUUGUAAACUGCUUUUAACCGGGAAGAAACCCCAGGACGUGUCCUGGGUUGACGGUACCGGAGGAAUAAGCACCGGCUAACUUCGUGCCAGCAGCCGCGGUAAUACGAAGGGUGCAAGCGUUAUCCGGAUUCAUUGGGUUUAAAGGGUGCGUAGGCGGAGCGUUAAGUCAGUGGUGAAAUCCUGCAGCUUAACUGUAGACUUGCCAUUGAUACUGGCGCUCUUGAGUGCGCUUGAAGGGGGCGGAAUGUGCCGUGUAGCGGUGAAAUGCUUAGAUAUGGCACAGAACACCAAUUGCGAAGGCAGCUCACUAAGGCGAUACUGACGCUGAGGCACGAAAGCGUGGGGAUCGAACAGGAUUAGAAACCCUGGUAGUCC
RNAcentral lists this ribosomal RNA (445 nucleotides) under uncultured bacterium. RNAcentral's name for it is "partial 16S ribosomal RNA". It matches the Rfam family "Bacterial small subunit ribosomal RNA", at positions 354 to 796 of the family's 1533-position model. The record is from RNAcentral.